This 447-nucleotide ribosomal RNA is filed under the name uncultured bacterium. RNAcentral describes it as "SSU rRNA". It matches the Rfam family "Bacterial small subunit ribosomal RNA", at positions 26 to 518 of the family's 1533-position model. The record is from RNAcentral.
AGAACGAACGCUGGCGGCAGGCUUAACACAUGCAAGUCGAACGCUCGUAGCAAUACGGGAGUGGCAGACGGGAGAGUAACACGUGGGAACGCGCCCUUCGGUUCGGAAUAACUCAGGGAAACUUGAGCUAAUACCGGAUACGCCCUUACGGGGAAAGAUUUAUUGCCGAAGGAACGGCCCGCGUCCGAUUAGCUAGUUGGUGAGGUAACGGCUCACCAAGGCGACGAUCGGUAGCUGGUCUGAGAGGAUGACCAGCCUCACUGGGACUGAGACACGGCCCAGACUCCUACGGGAGGCAGCAGUGGGGAAUAUUGGACAAUGGGCGCAAGCCUGAUCCAGCCAUGCCGCGUGGAUGAUGAAGGCCUUAGGGUUGUAAAGUCCUUUUAACGGGGAAGAUAAUGACGGUACCGUAGAAUAAGCCCCGGCUAACUUCGUGCCAGCAGCCGC